UAGGCUGCAACUCGCCUACACGAAGCUGGAAUCGCUAGUAAUCGCGGAUCAGCACGCCGCGGUGAAUACGUUCCCGGGUCUUGUACACACCGCCCGUCACACCAUGAGAGUCUGUAACACCCAAGGCCGGUGGGAUAACCUUUAUAGGAGUCAGCCGUCUAAGGUAGGACAGAUGAUUAGGGUGAAGUCGUAACAAGGUAGC
This 202-nucleotide ribosomal RNA is filed under the name uncultured bacterium. RNAcentral describes it as "partial 16S ribosomal RNA". It matches the Rfam family "Bacterial small subunit ribosomal RNA", at positions 1301 to 1500 of the family's 1533-position model. The record is from RNAcentral.